GGACGAACGCUGGCGGCGUGCUUAACACAUGCAAGUCGAACGGAAAGGCCCUGCUUGCAGGGUACUCGAGUGGCGAACGGGUGAGUAACACGUGGGUGAUCUGCCCUGCACUUCGGGAUAAGCCUGUGAAACUGGGUCUAAUACCGGAUAGGAGCCAUUUUUAGUGUGAUGGUUGGAAAGUUUUUUCGGUGUAGGAUGAGCUCGCGGCCUAUCAGCUUGUUGGUGGGGUAAUGGCCUACCAAGGCGGCGACGGGUAGCCGGCCUGAGAGGGUGGACGGCCACAUUGGGACUGAGAUACGGCCCAGACUCCUACGGGAGGCAGCAGUGGGGAAUAUUGCACAAUGGGCGCAAGCCUGAUGCAGCGACGCCGCGUGGGGGAUGACGGCCUUCGGGUUGUAAACUCCUUUCGCUAGGGACGAAGCUUUUGUGACGGUACCUAGAUAAGAAGCACCGGCUAACUACGUG
RNAcentral lists this ribosomal RNA (465 nucleotides) under uncultured bacterium. RNAcentral describes it as "partial 16S ribosomal RNA". It matches the Rfam family "Bacterial small subunit ribosomal RNA", at positions 27 to 507 of the family's 1533-position model. The record is from RNAcentral.